UGCGCAGGCGGAAUAAUAAGUCAGUGGUGAAAUCUCCCGGCUCAACCGGGAAACUGCCAUUGAUACUGCUAUUCUUGAGUACAGUUGAAGUGGGCGGAAUGUGUCAUGUAGCGGUGAAAUGCUUAGAUAUGACACAGAACACCGAUAGCGAAGGCAGCUCACUAAGCUGUAACUGACGCUCAUGCACGAAAGCGUGGGGAUCAAACAGGAUUAGAUACCCUGGUAGUCC
This 229-nucleotide ribosomal RNA is filed under the name uncultured bacterium. Its description in RNAcentral is "partial 16S ribosomal RNA". It matches the Rfam family "Bacterial small subunit ribosomal RNA", at positions 568 to 796 of the family's 1533-position model. The record is from RNAcentral.